This 578-nucleotide ribosomal RNA is filed under the name Chaetothyriales sp. AR-2010. RNAcentral's name for it is "eukaryotic LSU rRNA". The stretch from base 207 to 360 matches the Rfam family "5.8S ribosomal RNA". Lineage: Eukaryota; Fungi; Ascomycota; Eurotiomycetes; Chaetothyriales. The record is from RNAcentral.
GGAAGUAAAAGUCGUAACAAGGUUUCCGUAGGUGAACCUGCGGAAGGAUCAUUACAAAAUAAUCCCGGUGCUUCGGCGCUGACUUAUUUACACCCUUUGCCUAUGUGUACCCCUAUCGCUUCCUCGGCAGGCUUGCCUGCCGCCAGGAACCAACCAAACCCUUUGCAUUAUAUACAAAAACUUCUGACAACAAACUAAAUAAUCAAAACUUUCAACAAUGGAUCUCUUGGUUCUGGCAUCGAUGAAGAACGCAGCGAAAUGCGAUAAGUAGUGUGAAUUGCAGAAUUCCGUGAAUCAUCGAAUCUUUGAACGCACAUUGCGCCCCUCGGUAUUCCGUGGGGCAUGCCUGUUCGAGCGUCAUUUACACCCUCAAGCCUCGCUUGGUGUUGGGCGUCUGUCCCGCUCUCGUAGCGCGGACUCGCCUCAAAGUCAUUGGCGGCGGUCGUGCCGGCCCCUCGCGCAGCACAUUUGCGCUUCUCGGAGGCCUGGCGGAUCAGCAUCCAGCAAGCUAUUUCAUGACUUGACCUCGGAUCAGGUAGGGAUACCCGCUGAACUUAAGCAUAUCAAUAAGCGGAGGA